Long non-coding RNA from Harmonia axyridis, 330 nucleotides. RefSeq lists it as uncharacterized. NCBI's taxonomy places the organism in Eukaryota, Metazoa, Arthropoda, Insecta, Coleoptera, Coccinellidae. The transcript is spliced from 2 exons. The record is from RefSeq and is a predicted model, not a curated record.
CUUAUUUGCACUAUUAAUUAUGUUUUGCUAUAGGUAUAGAGCAAAUACGUGAAUUGAGAAAUACACAACCUUUCUCGCCUAGGAGAUGAGGGCUUUGUCGAAGUAUGACACAGACUUCGACCUUGUGAAAUGGAUUUGGAUGUGAGAGGUGUUUUGAUUCCGCUUUAUAUUUGUGGUCAAGUCUCGAUAGCAGCGCUCAGGUCAAGGAGCAGAAAGAAGAUCCCUCAGCUGUGAGAAAUAUGGGUUACAUUCAGAGAUUAACGAAUCGUUGUAAUCGUUUGAGAAUAAUCAAUACAAAUAAAAUUAUAAUAAUUAGUUAAUAGGUGAAAU